This 467-nucleotide ribosomal RNA is filed under the name uncultured bacterium. RNAcentral describes it as "partial 16S ribosomal RNA". It matches the Rfam family "Bacterial small subunit ribosomal RNA", at positions 28 to 506 of the family's 1533-position model. The record is from RNAcentral.
GACGAACGCUGGCGGCGUGCUUAACACAUGCAAGUCGAACGGAAAGGCCCUGCUUUUGUGGGGUGCUCGAGUGGCGAACGGGUGAGUAACACGUGAGUAACCUGCCCCUGACUUUGGGAUAACUUCAGGAAACUGGGGCUAAUACCGGAUAGGAGCUCCUGCUGCAUGGUGGGGGUUGGAAAGUUUCGGCGGUUGGGGAUGGACUCGCGGCUUAUCAGCUUGUUGGUGGGGUAGUGGCUUACCAAGGCUUUGACGGGUAGCCGGCCUGAGAGGGUGACCGGCAACAUGGGGACUGGGAUACGGCCCAGACUCCUACGGGAGGCAGCAGUGGGGAAUAUUGCACAAUGGGCGGAGGCCUGAUGCAGCAACGCCGCGUGCGGGAUGACGGCCUUCGGGUUGUAAACCGCUUUCGCCUGUGACGAAGCGUGAGUGACGGUAAUGGGUAAAGAAGCACCGGCUAACUACGU